This 397-nucleotide ribosomal RNA is filed under the name uncultured bacterium. Its description in RNAcentral is "bacterial SSU rRNA". It matches the Rfam family "Bacterial small subunit ribosomal RNA", at positions 29 to 417 of the family's 1533-position model. The record is from RNAcentral.
AGCGAACGCUGGCGGCGUGCCUAACACAUGCAAGUCGAACGCUGAGUUUGUCGUAGCAAUACGAUGAACAAGGCGUGGCGCACGGGUGCGUAACGCGUGGACAACCUGCCCACGAGUGGGGGAUAACCCCGGGAAACUGGGGCUAAUACCGCAUACUCUUUCCUGGAUGUCGAUCCGGGAACGGAAAGCCGCAAGGCGCUCAUGGAGGGGUCCGCGUCCGAUCAGCUAGNGGUGAGGUCAUGGCUCACCAAGGCUAAGACCGGUAGCUGGUCUGAGAGGACGACCAGCCACACUGGGACUGAGACACGGCCCAGACUCCUACGGGAGGCAGCAGUGGGGAAUAUUGCGCAAUGGACGAAGGUCUGACGCAGCGACGCCGCGUGGAGGACGAAGUCCU